AUGGUAAAACAAGACCAGCAAAGCCUCCCGCUGUGCCGACAAAUCCCGAUAGGAGCUGCACAUAUCUCGUUCUCAGGGCACACCGGAUUGUCCAAACUUCCGGUAGGCCAGCCCAGAGUUGCCCCUGGUGGCCACCGGCGGUUGGCAGGUUGGACCAACACUCACAACGAGCACUGGCCCGGGGGUAAAAUAAAGAUGACCCUUGAGUCUGCAGAACCCAAGGGAAAAAGGCUUAGGUGGCAAAUGGUAAAACCAAGGUUGGGCCUUGCUGGAGGAGUUUUAUUCAAAGCGAACUGUCAAGGGUGUCCCAUAAAUCACCCAACUGCGUAA
Molecule: ribosomal RNA, 330 nt
Filed under: Triticum aestivum (bread wheat)
Lineage: Eukaryota; Viridiplantae; Streptophyta; Magnoliopsida; Poales; Poaceae
Description: partial small subunit ribosomal RNA
Source: RNAcentral